UGUAAAAGCUAGGGGUGCCGAAAGGCUGAGAAAGAGCAAUGCUCUUGACCCUUUGAACCUGAUGCGGUUAAUGCCGACGUAGGGAAGCUUAAGAAGAUUUAU
RNAcentral lists this non-coding RNA (102 nucleotides) under Acetivibrio clariflavus. RNAcentral describes it as "Clostridium clariflavum TPP sequence". It matches the Rfam family "TPP riboswitch aptamer (THI element)". From Rfam's summary of the family: Vitamin B(1) in its active form thiamin pyrophosphate (TPP) is an essential coenzyme that is synthesised by coupling of pyrimidine and thiazole moieties in bacteria. RNAcentral also lists the same sequence under 1 other name. Lineage: Bacteria; Bacillati; Bacillota; Clostridia; Acetivibrionales; Acetivibrionaceae. The record is from RNAcentral.